Molecule: small RNA, 27 nt
Filed under: Bombyx mori (domestic silkworm)
Lineage: Eukaryota; Metazoa; Arthropoda; Insecta; Lepidoptera; Bombycidae
Description: piRNA piR-bmo-1610983
Source: RNAcentral
UAUCGUAGUAACCAUGGCGCCGUCAGC